GGCAGCCGGAAGACAGCAAGCUGUUCACCUCGUGCUCCAGAUACUCCUUCCGUAAGCGGUACUCCUCCAGCUCCCGGCUGCGGCCCCGUCGCUCUGGCAGGUUCCUCUGCAAAUCCAACAGGUCAUCUGAGGCAGCAUCCAGGCAGUUCUCGUGGGAUCGAUGUUGCUCCUCCUGGAAGAGAAAGCCCUGGGAAGUGAGUAAUCCAUACUGUUGACUCCCUUCCUACCUUCAGGAAGUAGAGGACCAUCCCUCUCAGUAAGGUGUGAAACAUCUUCCAGCCUCGUUUGCCCCAUGGCGCUGCCCCAAGGGGAGACACAAAAAGGUGGGUGCCGACACUACAUCAAGAUGUACUCAAUACCACCCCAGCCCCAAUAGACUCCCAGCAGCUGCUGCUCAAAGAAUCCUAUGUAGACACAUGCUGUUUCUAUGCCAACCCCAAGUCCUGCCCCAGCCCUGCUCUACCCUCCAUACCUACUGAGGGGAAGGCUCCAGGAUUGCAAUAAUGGAAGCGUUUGGAAAACUGGUAGAGAAUUCGUUCCCGCUCCUGCGUCUCUCCACUGAGCACCAGGGCCUGGAGGAAACCACUGCCCACGAAGGCCAGGAUUGAGCAGAGCCACAUUUUCCAUGAACUUGGGACCACCGCCCCACCCCACACACCCAACUCCUGCCUCCUCAGAGGUGCAGAAGGCCUUACCGGAGGGCUCGGUCCAGGCUCUGACCUUCGAACUGGAAGAAAGACAAGUAGGCCUCGGCUACAGCCCUGCUGAAGUCAUUGCUACAGGGGACAGUGGAAAUAAAAACAGUGCUGGGGACCAGGCUAAGCUGUAGGUACAGAGGGGCCCCAGGGUAGCAAGAGCCAAAGAGAGAAAAGUAUAACCAGGCUAGGUGCCAGGUCUCAAGAUAGCAGCCAGUGGCUAGCCUGCCCCUGCUGCUUGGUUCAGUGUUAUCUGUGAUAGGCCAAGUGGAGUCUGGGUGGGCAAGGGGAGGAGUCAGGGUAGAGAAGAGGUAUUUCAAGUGAGACUGAGAACAAGCAGAGCUAGCUAAGAAUGGGGUAGAGAGGUGGGAUGGGGAGGAGCCAGCACAGAGAUAAGGGGACAAGUAGUAAUAAGGUUGGAGGGAAACUAGGGAUAUUGGUCAGGGAAAGGGCAAGAGUGGAUGGCCAGUGGAGGAUACCCAAGGGAAGGAAAGUCAAAAACCCCUUACUUCUUGUGUAGUUGGGCAGCCACUUCAGACUUCCGAAAACCAUUCAGUUGAUAGAGGCGCAAGGCUAGGUUCCAGGCCCCCUUGUCAUUUCUGAUGUUAUUAGCCAACUUCUCUCUAGAUGAUGACGGCCUCCAGCCUUCCUCUGGAGAUUGAGCUUGGGGCAUGGAGCUCUCAGGAAGCCUAGAAAAGUCCAUUUGUGUCCUCACACUUGUGCACAUGAAUGUCAAGUGUCCUCCAAGGCCAUGGGAAGAAAUGGCCCAAGCUCAGGGUUAGAGCUAUGACUCUUUGGGAUCUGGAGAAGCUGAACCCAGGUCCUUAGCAUGGAGAUGCAUGUUCAAAGCCAGCCUGGCCUGGCAUAAGCUAGGACAAGGAGAUCUCAGAGAAGAGUUAGAGAAACAAGAGCCACAGGAGUGGAGCCAAGCUGGUGCCACAUUUCCCCAGGUACCCACAAAGAUACUCAAGCUUAUCUCAGCUGGAGUGGCAGGGAGAGCGUUUGAGGACCUCAGUGCUGUGCUAGCCACUCAUGAUGAGGUAAUGUGCUGGCUAGUUUUAUGUCAACUUAGUGCAAGUCAUCUGAAAGGAGGGAACCUUAAUUGAGAAAAAUGCCCCCAUAAGAAUCCAGCUGUAAGGCAUUUUCUUUAUUAGUGAUUGAUGGGGAGGGCCCAGCCCAGGCUGGGUGGUGCCAUCCUUGGGCUAGUGGUUCUGCGUUCUACAAGAAAGGAGGCUAAGUAAAGCCCUGGAAGCAAGUUGGUUAUCACAGCUUCUGCAUCAGCUCUUGUCUCCAGGUUCCUGCCCUAUUUGAGUUCCUGUCCUGACUUUCUUUGAUGAUGAACAGUGCUGUGGAAGUGUAAGCCCAAUAAACCCUUUCCUUCCCAAGUUUCUUUGGUCAUGAUGUUUCAUCACAGGACUAGAAACCCUAACUAAUACAGGUAGGUUUAUUUCCCUUAUUUGAGUUAUCCUCAUAUACCUCUAUUCCCCAA
Molecule: long non-coding RNA, 2184 nt
Organism: Mastomys coucha (southern multimammate mouse)
Lineage: Eukaryota; Metazoa; Chordata; Mammalia; Rodentia; Muridae
Exons: 3
Source: RefSeq, a predicted model, not a curated record